RNAcentral lists this transfer RNA (76 nucleotides) under Aeriscardovia sp. Its description in RNAcentral is "tRNA-Met". It matches the Rfam family "tRNA". Rfam says of the family: Transfer RNA (tRNA) molecules are approximately 80 nucleotides in length. Their secondary structure includes four short double-helical elements and three loops (D, anti-codon, and T loops). The record is from RNAcentral. RNAcentral also lists the same sequence under 11 other names. Lineage: Bacteria; Bacillati; Actinomycetota; Actinomycetes; Bifidobacteriales; Bifidobacteriaceae.
CGCGGGGUAGAGCAGUUGGUAGCUCGUCGGGCUCAUAACCCGGAGGUCGUUGGUUCAAAUCCUUCCCCCGCAACCA